GGCGUGAUAGCUCAGUCGGUAGAGCAACGGAUUGAAAAUCCGUGUGUCCCCAGUUCGAUCCUGGGUCUCGCCACCA
Molecule: transfer RNA, 76 nt
Filed under: Acinetobacter sp.
Lineage: Bacteria; Pseudomonadati; Pseudomonadota; Gammaproteobacteria; Moraxellales; Moraxellaceae
Also listed under: 48 other names
Description: tRNA-Phe
Rfam family: tRNA
About the family: Transfer RNA (tRNA) molecules are approximately 80 nucleotides in length. Their secondary structure includes four short double-helical elements and three loops (D, anti-codon, and T loops). Further hydrogen bonds mediate the characteristic L-shaped molecular structure. tRNAs have two regions of fundamental functional importance: the anti-codon, which is responsible for specific mRNA codon recognition, and the 3' end, to which the tRNAs corresponding amino acid is attached (by aminoacyl-tRNA synthetases). tRNAs cope with the degeneracy of the genetic code in two manners: having more than one tRNA (with a specific anti-codon) for a particular amino acid; and 'wobble' base-pairing, i.e. permitting non-standard base-pairing at the 3rd anti-codon position.
Source: RNAcentral